Molecule: small nuclear RNA, 318 nt
Filed under: Erinaceus europaeus (western European hedgehog)
Lineage: Eukaryota; Metazoa; Chordata; Mammalia; Eulipotyphla; Erinaceidae
Description: 7SK RNA (ENSEEUG00000023203.1)
Rfam family: 7SK RNA
About the family: 7SK was discovered as an abundant small nuclear RNA in the mid-70s but a possible function has only recently been suggested. Two independent studies have found that 7SK RNA binds the CDK9/cyclin T complex (known as elongation factor P-TEFb).
Source: RNAcentral
ACAUGGAGGGUGAUCUGGUUGCAACAUCUGUCACCCUAUUUAUUAUCAUGGUUGAGUGGGCCGAUCUGGCUGGCUAGUCAGGUGCGCCCUUGCUCCCUCACAUUGCAAGUGCGCCCCCUCCCUAAUGUGCGUGCACUGGUUCAAGAGGAUGACGUUUCCACCAUCAGACAGACCAGGCAUCCGUCCCGAGUAUAGAAGUGGCUGUGCUCCCCUGCUAGGAUCUUUAAAGCAAGCUUGAGGGGCCUUUCUAUCUCAUAAAUGGAAAUUAUCACUCUACUAGUGAAAAGAAGUAAGAUAAAGCUUUUAAUAAAAUAAUUU